GGACUACUGGGGUUUCUAAUCCCGUUCGCUACCCUAGCUUUCGUGCCUCAGCGUCAGAAGAGAUCCAGUGAGCCGCUUUCGCCACCGGUGUUCCUUAGGAUAUCAAUGCAUUUCACCGCUCCACCCUAAGUUCCGCUCACCUCUAUCUCCCUCGAGCACGGUAGUUUUGGGCGCAGUUCCUCGGUUGAGCCGAGGGAUUUCACACCCAACUUUCCGCGCCGCCUACGCACCCUUUAAGCCCAGUGAUUCCGAAUAACGUUUGGACGGUUCGUCUUACCGCGGCGGCUGGCAC
This 292-nucleotide ribosomal RNA is filed under the name uncultured Planctomycetota bacterium. Its description in RNAcentral is "uncultured planctomycete partial 16S ribosomal RNA". The record is from RNAcentral. Lineage: Bacteria; Pseudomonadati; Planctomycetota.